Molecule: long non-coding RNA, 1237 nt
Organism: Neogale vison (American mink)
Lineage: Eukaryota; Metazoa; Chordata; Mammalia; Carnivora; Mustelidae
Exons: 5
Source: RefSeq, a predicted model, not a curated record
CCGCGCCGCGCCGCUGCAGCCUUGUGGGAAAUGUAGUCCGUCGCCCGGGGCGUACGCGCCGGGGAGGGCUGCGUCCGCACCGGUUGCUCCCGCUCCUGCUGGGAGAGGCUCUGCUUCCUCUGGAUCCUGCCCAUCCCCUAGAAGGAUGGCACAGGAAGGAAAGAGAAGGUGAUGGCUAUUGGGCCUCUGCCCUUGGCAGCUAAGUUUCAGGAGUCAGUGACCAUCAGGGAUGUGUCUGUGGAUUGCACUUGGGAGGAGUGGAUUUGUCUGGAUUCUGCUCAGAGGAACUUGUAUGGGACAGUGAUGCUACAGAACUACAGUGACUUGGUUUCACUGGGUCAUUGUUUUAGGAUGGUUGCUUGGUGUACUCUCUGGACAUGGAAUGGAAAAUGGAAUCUUCAGAAGACCGGAUGGGGAAGGGACAAGGACAGCUGGAACUUGCAGAACUGAGCUGGAUGACAAAUGGACUUAGAGCGUGCCUCUCCAGGUACACAUCAGGCUGCAGGGACUUGUUACUGAGUGUGUACCCACGGAAAUCCCCACGGAGCUCCCUCGGUCUCCUGGAGUGACAGCAACCCUGCCUGCCGUUUAUUCCCUCAAAGGUCUCUGCAUUCCUCAUGUCACUCAUCCUUCAUUCGUCUCACAAAAGCCCUCACCAUGGAGGGAAGAGUGUAGGAGGAUCAAAUGAGUACUACAUUUGUAGCACUUACUUAUUGCUGUGAACAUCAGUAAAUGUACCAAUUAUUAUUGCUUUUCUGUCUUUACCUGUAAUUUGAAUCCCAUUCUAUCUUCUUCCACUUUAUAUUCUCUUUCCUCUGUUUCAGGAGUCUUUCUUCUCAGCCGUAAUCUGUUUCCAUGACUUCUUUCAUUUACAUGUUUGUCAGCUUUCUUAAAGGAAACUGAGAUUUUUUUCCCUGAGUUGCAAACUUGUAUAUGUGUUUUAGUCUUAAUUUGAAAACAAAUGAAGAUGACGUUAGCUUUUCUAUUUUCACUAGUAACCUGACGUUCUAUACAUUCCCUUUCUCAUUCCUCAGGUUUCAAUCUGGAUUCCAUUCUCCUCUAAACAUUUAAUGUCUUUUUUAGUCUUUGUUAAUUGGUUUCUAAUCCCCCUUAGAAAUGAAAUUUCUGUUAGAGGUUAUCACUGACUUUCUUCUGGAAAGAAAAAAAAAUUUUUAGUCUUUUAUACUCUAUUCAAUAUGAAAGCAUUUCUUCUUAUACAUUUUUUUUAAAUUAAAGG